Cephus cinctus (wheat stem sawfly) is the source of this 1197-nucleotide long non-coding RNA. RefSeq lists it as uncharacterized. The record is from RefSeq and is a predicted model, not a curated record. Lineage: Eukaryota; Metazoa; Arthropoda; Insecta; Hymenoptera; Cephidae. The transcript is spliced from 3 exons.
GAACCGUCGAGAUGGGAGAGGCCGCUCGAGAAUAUACGUGCAUCGUGGCUUUUUCGGCUAUUUACUUUUUCACUGUCUUGGCCGUCUUCUUCUCGAGCACUUCCGUGACGGAAGCGAUACGAAACCUCGACGACGGCUACGCGACGCCCGGCGUCUGCCAUUCUACAGCCACGCAUGCGAAUCGCCCGUUGUAAUAAUCAGCUGCGCGGUCAGAUUCGCGAAUUCAACAUAAAAAGUCACGGGGAGUGAGUGUCGCGUUUACAUGAAAAUUUGUCGCGGCUUUAAUAAAGUUUCUUGCGAACUUGUGCACGUGAAGCGACGUAAAUUUAAAGAAAAAUAGAAUAAAAAUUGUGCAACUAUAUGGUACAGUCAGGAGAAGAAUUGCAUCUUAGUAGAUGGCGCACGAAUCGCUUGAUAAGAUUUUUCCAGUGUACAGUCCAGUAAAUUAAAAAGUCAAAGAAGAGUGACAGUCAACGAAUCGGUCUACUACGAGAAAACGAAAAUCCGUCGUAUCGCGUUAAAAGGUGAAAUAAGAAAUUAAAAUCUGCCCGCGUACGACCAAACGCAUAUAUCUACAUACGUGUGACGCAUCUUAAAGUCCAGAAGCAACGACCCAAAGACGAAUGAAGGAACGUCUUAUAAAACUCGCAUAUAGUCUUCGAAUGAAAAUAGAAUUUCUGUAAUAUUUAAAAGUGAUAUACAACCCAUACUUUGCUACCAUUUUACCUGAAUCACAAAAAAAAAACGAAGGGGCCACGAUCUAGUGAAAAUUAGUCAAUUACCAUAGGGAAGUGAAAUAUUUUGUAAACUUUAUAAAAAUCCGAAUUUAUUUCCGAGUUAAUAUUUAUCUAAAUACAUAAAGUGCACCCUGACACCUUCUUACGUCACUUAUAUAAUGAUAAUAAUAAUAUAAAAAACGUGACUCCACCUACCGCCCCCUCGAAGACAACAUAAAUAAAAGUAACUCGACUCCCGAAAUUUAGCUUGUAAAUCGAGUUCGUGCUGCUUGAACUGCGGCCAAUGACGAGCAGUGCAGCCCAGCAGGGGUGGCGAAGAGUGCUUUUAUUUUGGACGUCAAAAUUUCACACAGUCACGCACGCUAAUUGGAUCUAAUGGAAGGCAACAGUGAUAUGCGACUUUGCGACAAAAGUACUGGCUUUCUAUGUCGUCGGAUAAUGGAGAGGAUUUUUUUUAUGU